GUACACUCCUACGGGAGGCAGCAGUGGGGAAUUUUGGACAAUGGGCGAAAGCCUGAUCCAGCAAUGCCGCGUGAGUGAAGAAGGCCUUCGGGUUGUAAAGCUCUUUUGUCAGGGAAGAAACGGUGAAAGCUAAUAUCUUUUGCUAAUGACGGUACCUGAAGAAUAAGCACCGGCUAACUACGUGCCAGCAGCCGCGGUAAUACGUAGGGUGCAAGCGUUAAUCGGAAUUACUGGGCGUAAAGCGUGCGCAGGCGGUUUUGUAAGUCUGAUGUGAAAUCCCCGGGCUCAACCUGGGAAUUGCAUUGGAGACUGCAAGGCUAGAAUCUGGCAGAGGGGGGUAGAAUUCCACGUGUAGCAGUGAAAUGCGUAGAUAUGUGGAGGAACACCGAUGGCGAAGGCAGCCCCCUGGGUCAAGAUUGACGCUCAUGCACGAAAGCGUGGGGAGCAAACAGGAUUAGAUACCCUGGUAGUCCCAUGA
RNAcentral lists this ribosomal RNA (478 nucleotides) under uncultured organism. RNAcentral describes it as "partial 16S ribosomal RNA". It matches the Rfam family "Bacterial small subunit ribosomal RNA", at positions 331 to 800 of the family's 1533-position model. The record is from RNAcentral.